This is a long non-coding RNA of Acinonyx jubatus (cheetah), 11393 nucleotides long. RefSeq lists it as uncharacterized. The record is from RefSeq and is a predicted model, not a curated record. NCBI's taxonomy places the organism in Eukaryota, Metazoa, Chordata, Mammalia, Carnivora, Felidae. The transcript has 2 exons.
AGUCCUGUCCCCAGUGGGACUGAUGUAGUGACACAAACAUCGUCGCACGUGUCCGAGGAUGGGUUGGGCCAGGGGUCGGGGGGCGUAGCUGUUACGUGCAGGGUUGGUGCUGCAGAACCCGGGAGGAGGAGCAGGCCUGAGUGGAGGCCCACAAGGGUGUGGUGGGUGUGUGGUGAAUGUACUCAUUACCCAAAUGGAAAGCUGAAAGGGAGUCGAGUCCUGAGCGCAGAAGAACAGGUAAAGUUUGUAGAUAGAAAGUAAUAUGGUACCCAUAGGAAGAAUUACGGGGGUAGGGUAGAGGGAAAGAAAGUUUUAGUGAGAUGGGAGAUGGACCCGCCACUUUUAGACAGUUUUAACAUGACGUUAGAAAAGGUUUUAGGAUGAAGUGUCGUUAGAAAAAUGUGUUUGGUUUAUGUAAAAAGAUGGUCGUUUCAAACCGUUUAAAAAAUGUAUCUUUUUUUCACUACCCAUGUCGACCGUCGGAAAUUUACGGAUUGUGUUUAAAUGGUUAAUGAUUACUCUGGCGUAUUCCUGAUCUUUUCUCUCAGCUUCAUAUGAGGAGACUGAAUUUUUGUGAUAAUAGUGGAUGCAUCAACACAAAAUUUUUAAAACGUUUAGAUUUUUGUGUUUAUUCUACCAGAAAUCAGAGUCAAUUCAGAUGGCACUGUGCUCUUGAUAUAAUCCACACAAAUAGCCAGAGUCAAUUAUUUUUCUUCAGUCAGAGAAAAUAAUGUAACACAAGAUAUACUAAAAUAAACAUAUUUAUAAAAUAUAUAUUUGAUGUGAACCAAAUUAAUUUCUCAAGUGGAAAUUCUUCAGGAAUAGAAAAAUAAUUGAAUGUUGGAAAUGGUAGUUGAAGUGGAAUAGUAGUUUGAUUCUUUACUACCUGAGUGAACUUGAACAAGUCACUACCUUUUUGGCUUCAGAUAAUAAUAGUAUCUCAUGGGGUUGCUGUAAGAUUAAAUGAGUUAAUAAGUGUAAAGUCAACAGUGUCAGUUCCAUAAUUAGUCUGAUAUAAGUUGUAACCAUUACAAUAUUAGCAAUAGUAGUUGAAUAAAUGAAUAUUUUCCUCAUUUCCUGGGCCUUAUACUAGUGCUUUUAUGGAAUAGUUUCUGAGAAGUUGUAGGUUUUUGGUCCUUGAUUUAUUUUAUUUUUAUUUUAUUUUAUUUUAUUUUAUUUUAUUUAUUUUUGAGAGAAAGGAAGAGAGAGAAUCUUGAGCAGGCGCCACACUCAAUGCAGUGCCUGACGUUGGGCUCGAUCCCAUUACCCUGGGAUCAUGACCUGAGCCUAAAUUAAGAGUUUAAUGCUUAACUGAUUGAGCCAACCAGGUACCCCUGGACCUGGAUUUAUAAUAGUAGUUUAAAAAUAAUCUAAUAUGUCAUUGGUUUCCCAUACGAUGUUUUCAAGACUAUCAGUGACUUCUUUCACUGAAAACAAUAGUUAACCUAGUGCUUGACUCAUUAGAGGGCCUCUAUUUAAGGAAUUUCUUCUUGAAUCCUUUCAUAAAAUACAAUCACUUGGUAAUGAUUAUUCACAGAUUUGCUUUUAAUACUUUAUUUAAUGUUAUUAUACUUGUGUAGUGUGUUUGUUAGUAUUGUCUCCACAGAGUCAUUAUAGUUACGACUUACAAAGAAAAACAAUCCAUUCACACGUCACUUUUUUAAGUGGUAAAAUAUACUCCAAGUUGAUGUCACAGGAUUUUAGACUUGGAAGGCACCAUAGCGUUCAUCUAGUCCAAGCAUCCAGAUUUACAAAUGUGGAAACGGCUUUAGCAUGAGAUUGCAUGAAAGUGCUAAGAAGUAGCAUAUUGGUUUGGAUGAAUUACAGGUGUUUUCAAAAGUUUAUGUGUAUAAUAAAUACUUUUUGAGCCCGACAAAAGAACAAGAAGACUGUUGAACAUAAAGUUAAUUUCUAAAUGCUUAGUUAGAAUGAUUCCUGGUGGCUAAUGCUAAGAAUGCUGUAUUCCCAUAUGGUCUAAUAGCAUCCAUACUUAGAAAUUAAACUUAAGGGGCCCCUGGGUGGCUCAGUCGGUUAAGUGCCCGACUUUGGUUCAGGUCAUUAUCUCGCAGUUCAUGAGUUCCAGCCCCAGGUUGCACUCUGUGCUGAUGGCUAGGAGCCUUGAGCCUGCUUCGGAUUCUGUGUCUCCCUCUCUCCCUUUGCCCCUACCCCGCUCAUACUGUGUGUGUGUGUGUGUGUGUGUGUGUGUGUGUGUGUGCGCGCGCGCGCGCGCGCCUUAAAAAUAAACAUUAAAGAAAAAUUAAACUUAAGACAUUCUCGGUUGACUCCAUAGCUCAGGGGUUAGAGCACUGGUCUUGUAAACUUAAGACAUUCUGUUGUUUAUAAACAUAAUGACAUAAUGUAUUUCUGACAUUAUUAGUUCAAGAGAUAAAAUUCUUGCAUUUUAGUAGCAAAAACUAAAAAUAUGAUGGUCUCAGAUGAAGUUUUGAGUCCUUCAAUUUUAUUGUAUUUGAUGUAAGUAAACAUUUUGUAAUUAAUUAUUAAUAAGUUUGCCAGACCACACUUGUAGAAUUCAUUUCUUUUUCUAUAAUAGCCUAAAAUCUGAGUUAUUACUAAAUAAAUGCUUUGAGUGGGCAUAACUUUGAGGAAAGUGUGGGUUAUAACUGGUAUAAAUUAAGAUACAUAGAUGUCCCAGAACAACAUUCUGUGAACCGGCCACAUGAGUAUGAUUUUUAGCAGUUGACUCAGAUACCUUGUUUGAAAACACAUGGUAUGUGGUAUUUUAGUAAUAAAAAAAAAUCUCUUAGAUAUUAUUGAAGUUUUCUUUUGUCUUAUAUAUAUUUGUAAAACAUUGAAUUCUUAUUUUUAGAUUAUGGUAAAGAGAACUUUACAGCUGCUCCAUAUACUGCUGAGCUUUUAGCGAGCAAGAAAUGAGAUACAGUAAAGAAAAUGACACAUUAUCAUGGUAGAGCAGCCCAAUAGUUUUAGUACCCUGGACUAUGGACACAGUGUUUAAUUUGAAUCUCAGUCUAAGUCAUUUGUACUAUCAGAGUAUUAGGCUAGAUUAUUUGUACAGAUUAGUAUCUGCCAAAGCUAGACAUUCAGCUUCCUGAGAUCAAAAGAUAAGCCCAAGCCUAUAAACAUAGUUUAGUAGGGAAACAGAGACUUAAAAAGAUAACGAUUCUAUAAUGGACAUAUAGACAGGUACACGGGGAAUUUAAGAGGGAGACCUAAAUCUGAAUGGGAAUAAGUGUGGGGAUGGCAAGUGAGAAGAGGAAAUGAGAAGGGGGAAAGAGAUUAGGUAAAAGAUAACGUAAAGACAUUUAUACCUGAACAAUUAUUGAAGAUUGCUGCUGUAUAUUUUUUGGAGGGCUUCAGGGUGGCAUUGUAGAAUGCUCAACUAUAGUGAAUGCAAGGUAUGAAAUGCAGUGUUUCUGGGAACUACAGGUGCUUCUGUAUAGCUACAGUGUGGUCUCCAGAGUAGAGUUUGCACCCCAGCAGAUAUGCAGGAUGAUUGACUGGGGUGAAGGAAGAAAAUACUACAAUUUCAGUAUAUUUGUUUUUUUUUUUUAAUUCUUAAAUCUCUAUUUUAGUUUACUUUUUGGUGUAUAUAAUAGCAUUGCAUGUAUAAAGUAUAAACUUAUAAAUAUACUUUUAUAUAUAAAUAUAUAUUAGUGACAUAUAACAAUUUGUUUUAUGUAUAUAUUAUUUAUGAUAGAACUAGGAUUAAGAUUUAGACAACAAAUCUAUUCUCAAAGUUUUAUAUAUACAUAUAUAUAUAUAUGUAUAUAUAGUGGCUAAUAUACAAUGUGUACAGUGUGCUCUUGGUUUUUGGGGUGCAUUCCCGUGGUUUAUUGCUUACAUACAACACCCACUGCUCAUCCCAACAAGUGCCCUCCUCAAUGCCCAUCACCCAUUUUCCCCUCUCCCCCACACUCCCAUCAACCCUCAGUUCUCUGUAUUUAAGUCUCUUAUGGUUUGCCUCCUCCCUCUCUGUUUGUAACUGUUUUUUUCCCCCUUCCCUUCCCUCAUGGUCUUCUGUUAAGUUUUUCAAGAUCCACUUAUGACUGAAAACAUGUGAUAUCUGUCCUUCUCUGACUGACUUAUUUCACUCCGCAUAGUACCUUCUAGUUCCAUGACAUUGCUGCAAAUGGCAUGAAUUCUUUCUCAUUGCCAAGUAGUAUUCCAUUGUACAUAUAAAUUGCAUCUUUAUCCAUUCAUCAGUUGAUGGACAUUUAGGCUCUUUCCAUAAUUUGCCUAUUGUUGAAAGUGCUGCUAUAAACAUUGGGGUACAAGUGCCCCUAGGCAUCAGCACUCCUGUAUCCUUCGAAUAAAUUCCUAGUAGUGCCAUUGCUGGGUCAUAGGUAGUUCUAUUUUUAAUUUUUUGAGGAACCUCUACACUGUUUUCCAGAGCGGCUGCACCAGUUUGCAUUCCCACCAACAGUGCAAGAGGGUUCCCAUUUCUCCACAUCCUGUCCAGCAUCUACAGUCUCCUGAUUUGUUCAUUUUAGCCACUCUGACCAGUGUGAGGUGGUAUGUCAGUGUGGCUUUGAUUUGUAUUUCCCUGAUGAGGAGUGAUGUUGAGCAUCUUUUCAUGUGUCUGUUGGCCAUCUGGAUGUCUUCUUUGGAAAAGUGUUCAUGUCUUCUGCCCAUUUCUUCACUGGAUUGUUUUUCUGGUGUUGAGUUUGGUAAGUUCUUUUGUAGAUUUUGGAUACUAACCCUUCUUCCAAUAUGUCAUUUGCAAAUAUCUUUUCCCAUUCCAUCAGUUGCCUUUUAGUUUUGUUGAUUGUUUCCCUUGCAGUGCAGAAGCUUUUUCUCUUCAUGAGGUACCAAUAGUUCAUUUUUACUUUUAAGUCCCUUGCCUUUGGAGACGUGUCAAGCAAGAAAUUGCUGUGACUGAGGUCAAAGAGGUUGUUGCCUGCUUUCUCCUCUAGGGUUUUGAUGGUUUCCUGUCUCACAUUCAGGUCCUUUUUCCAUUUUGAGUUUAUUUUUGUGAAUGGUGUGAGAAAGUGGUCUAGUUUCAUUCUUCUGCAUGUUGCUGUCCAGUUCUCCCAGCACCAUUUGUUAAAGAGACUGUCUUUUUUCCAUUGGAUAUUCUUUCCUGCUUUGUCAAAGAUUAGUUGGCCAUACAUUUGUGGGUCCAAUUCUGGGUUUUCUAUUCUAUUCCAUUGGUCUAGGUGUCUGUUUUUGUGCCAAUACCAUACUUUCUAAGAGAGAAAUUUAUGGCAAUACAGGCCUCCUUAAGAAGCAAGACAAAUCUCAAACGACCUAACCUUACAGCUAAAUGAGAUAGAAAAAAGAACAAACAAAUCCAAAUCCAGCAGAAGGAAGCAAACAGUGAAGAUUAGAGCAGAAACAAAUGAUACAAAACUAAGAAAGCUAGGAGCUUGUUCUUUGAAAAGAUCAAUAAAAUUGAUAAUCCCCUAGCCAGACUCAUCAAACAAACAUAAAACAACAACAAAAAAACCCAAAACUCAAAAUCACAAAUGAGAGAGGAGAAAUAACAACCAACACCACAGAAAUACAAUUACAAGAGAAUAUUAUGAAAAAACUGUAUGCCAACAAAUUGGACAAACUUAGAAGAAGUGGAUAAAUUUGUGGAAACAUAACUAACCAAAUUAGAAUCAGAAAGAAAUAGAAAGUUUGAAUAGACUGAACCGGCAAAUAAAUUGAAUCAGUAACCAAACAACCACCCAAAAACACAAGUCAAAGACCAGAUGGCUUCACAGUUGAAUUCUACCAAACAUCUGAAGAAUUAAUAGGUAUUCUUAUCCAAGUAUUUCAAAAAAUAAAAAAGGAAGGAAAACUAACAAAUUAAUUCUGUGAGGCCAGCAUUAUCCUGACAGCAAAACCAGAUAAAGACACCACUACAAGAGAGAACUGCAGGCUAUUAUCUGUGAUGAACAUAGAUGCAAAAAUUCUCAAUAAGUACUAGCAAACCGAAUUAAACAAUACAUUCAGAAAGCCAUUCACCUACAUAAAAUAAAAAAAAAAAAUCAUUCGCCACAAUCAAGUGGAAUUUAUUUCUUGGUUGCAAGGGUGGUUCAGUGUUUCCGAAUCACUUAAUGUGAUACGUCAAAAACAUUUGACAAAAUACAACAUCCAUUCACAAUAAAAACCCUCAACAAAGUAGGUCCAGAGGGAAUAUAUGUCAACAUGAUAAAGGCUUUAUAUGAAAAACCAACAGCUAACCUCAUUCUCAGUGGGGAAAAACUGAGAGCUUUUUGGCUAAGGUCAGGGGGAAGACAAGGAUGUCCACUCUCAAACUGCUAUUCAACAUAGUACUGGAAGUCCUAUCCACAGCAAUCAGACAACAAAAAGAAAAGGAAUCCAAAUCGGCAAGGAAGAAGUGAAACUUUCACUAUUUCCAGAUGAAAUGAUACUGUAUAUGGAAAAUCUGAAAGACUCCACCAAAAAAGCUAGAACAAACAGUUCUAACAUUUAUAUGAAAUCAUGAAAGACCCCAAAUAGCCAAAGCACUAUUGAAAAAGAAGCAAACCUGGAAGCAUCACAAUUCUAGACUUCAAGUUAUUACAAAUCUGUAGUAAUCAAAACAGUAUGAUGCUGUCACAAAAAUAAACACACAGAUCAGUGGAACAGAAUAGAAAACCCAGAAAUAAACCCAAACUUUAUGGUCAAUUAAUUUUGACAAAACAGGAAAGAAUGUCCGAUGGGAAAAGGACGGUCUCUUUAACAAAUGGUAUUGGGAAAACUGGACAGCAACACGCAAAAGAAAGAAGCUGGACCACUUUCUUACACCUAUUAAAAAAUAAAUUCAAAAUGGAUUAAAGACCUAACUGGGAGACCUGAAACCAUCAAAAUCCUAGAAGAGAAUACAAGUAGUAACUUCUUUGACAUCAGCCAUAGCAACUUUUUCCUGGAUAUGUAUUGUGAGGCAAGGGAAACAAAAGCAAAAAUACACUUUUGGGACUACAUAAAAAUAAAGAGCAUUUGCACAGUGAAGGAAAUCAAACUGAAAGGCAAGUCGAACAAAACUGAAAGGCAACCUCUACAGAAUGGAAGAAGAUAUUUGGAAAUGACAUAUCUGAUAAAGGGUCAGUACAAAAAUAUAUAAAGAACUUAUGAAACUCAAUGCCAAAAAAAAAUGCAAUUAAAAAAUGGGGAAGACAUGAACAGACAUUUCUCCAAAGAAGAGUACAUAUGGCCAAUAGACACAUAAAAGAAUGCUCAACAUGACUGAUCAUCAGAGAAAUGCAAAUCAAAACUAUAAUGAGAUAUCCCCUCACACCUGUCAGAAUGGCUAAAAUCAACAGCACAAGAAACAACAGGUAUUGGCGAGGAUGUGGAGAAAAAGGAACAUUUGUGCAUUGUUGGUGGGAAUUCACACUGGUGGAGCCACUGUGGAAAACAGUAUGGAGGUUCCUCAAAAGUUAAAAAUAGAACUACGAUUCAGCAUUUUCACUAUGAGGUGUUUAUGCAAAGAAUACAAGAACACUAAUUCAAAGGGAUACAUGCACCCUGAUGUUUAUAGUAGCAUUAUCUACGGUAGCAGAUUUUUAUCGUAGAAACCCAAGUGUCCAUCAGCUGAUGAAUGGAUAAAGAAUAAUGGUAUGUAUCUACAAUGGAAUAUUAUUCAGUCAUAAAAACAAAGGAAAUCUUGUUAUUUGCAGUGACAUGGAUGCAAGCUAGAGAAUAUAAUGGUAGGCAAAAUAAGUCAGAAAAAGACAAAUACUAUAUGAUUUCACUUGUGGAAUUUAAGAAAAAAAAAAACAAGCAAAAGGAAAAAAAGACAAACCAGGAAACAGACUCUUAACUAUAGAGAACAAAUUGAUGGUUAUCAGGGAGGAGGUGAGUGGAAGAAUGGGUGAAAUAGAGGAUGGGGCUUAAGGAGUGUACUUGUGAUGAGCACUAGGUGAUGUAUGGAAUUGUUGAAUCAGUAUUGUAUACCUAAAACUAAUAUAACAGCAUAUGUUAACUAUACUGGAAUUCAAAUAAAAAAAUUCAUAAAAAUAUUUUAGGUUUAAAAUAAAUCAUUUAAUUAUUUAUUUUUGAGAGAGUGUGAAUGGGGGAGGGGCAGAGAGAGAGGGAGACAGAAAAUCCCGAGCAGGCUUCAUGCUGUCAGUGCAAGAAAGAUGGAAUGUCUGAGACGGAUAAUUGGUUAAGAGAGAUGAGAUCAGCAGUUUGUCAGGUAUGAUGGGUCCCAACUACCUGCUAUGUGGAUAGCUAAAAGGCUGAAUUAUAUUAGUGCAAAUGAAGGAAUCAAAUAAGGGAUUGGAGAUCUGGAUAAUGAUGGGUUAAAAAUGCAAGGGGAAUAAGAGUAAUAACUGGGAGAAUAGUAGGUAAGGAAGAUCAAGUAAGAAAUAAAUUUCAUAGUCUAAUAAAUACCUUUUUUUGUAGGCAUGAAGACUUUUUUUCUUAAAACUUUUCUGGAUAUUCAGUACAGCUGAAUAUGAGAGUACUUGUUUCCAAACUUUUAUGAUCUGGCUUCCCAAGCAGAAAAUAUUUUGAAUAGGUACCCCCAAUGUAUCUAUAUUUAUUUAUCAAUCAUUUAAUCAUAUUCUGUAGUAUUAUAUUUUGUAUAUUGUAAAGUGUUACAAUCUAAAUACUUAAACAUGAGAGAUAAGCAUAUUUUAAAAUAAGUGUUAACAUUAAUGUUACAAAACGUUAGUUUUGGUGAGGGCAUUGUGAUAUUUCAUUAGUUUUGAAAACCUUGGUUAAUACUUGACUGUAGAACUAUUUGAAAGUUUUGUUUUAUAUUAAAUUUAUUUUAAUACUUGGCUUUAAUGACUUUUGUAGUUCAGAGCUCAUAAAGAUGCAUACAUCCAGAUGGAAUGGCAUUGUAAGCUGGGCUGACUAUAUUAGACAGGCAAAAGUUUUUGUUGAAAUAAACCAAUGAGAGUUUUGUCUUCCCUAAUUUCAAAUAGUUGUUCUUGAAGUCUAAUAAUACUACGGUUCUACUUUGAUGGAUAAUUUUCAUUUGCCCAUCCAAAUCUAUUCUCCACUUUUGUGCACUGUGCUGUGUCCCAGGAGGCUGAUUUCUAAGGACUGCAUCAACUGGUCUGCCUUGUGUUCUGGCUUUUGAUUGGGUUCAGUCAAUGGGAGGCACUGACAGGAGGACUGGAGAGAGGUCAGGAUAGCCUAAUGGCUUUCGCUUUGCUGGGCAACUGUGCUCCAUCAUUCUGUGGCCCUCUUCUGUAAUUAUAGCUUCCUUUGUUCUAGUAAUAAUCCCAUCUUUUCCCCCUUUUGGGUCCAGAGUGAUGAUAGCUCCCUAGCUAGCCCAAGAGUGCUUCACCAUCCCUUACUAAUUUCCCUUAACGUUGGCUACGCAUUUGUGAAUAGUCUUUUCAUUAAACAUUACAUCCGUUUUAGUAUUACCUUGCUAGCACUCUGAGGGCUGUAGUCGCAUUUAAAAAUUUUGACUGAAACUCUUUAUUUAGAAUAUUUUUAAACAGAUUAGAUAAUUUUGUUUCCAAGUUUUAGUUGUACAGAUAGAGUUUUUAUAGGUGACACAUUUCUUUGUUUUGAUAGCAACAACGAAAAUCACAUAAUAAGGGAAACUUUUUCAAACAUCUGUUUUUUGGGGGUGGGCAGUGUUAGUGCAUGUAUUAACCAUAAGUAAAGCUUAAAUAGCAAUUUACUUCUUUAUUAAUACUUAACUUGAAUAAUUUGAAACAGAAUUAAGCCUCUGAAUUCUGAAAUUUGGAAUGUGUUAACAACACAGAAAAGACCUUUGGUGCUUUAUAUGAAAAAAAAAACAAAAACAAAAACAAAGGGUAACUAAAACUCAAUGAGUCCACUAUAAUUAUUGCUUAGCUUUUGCUUAUAGUUAGCAAUCUGUUAUUUUCAAACUAUUGCCAGAGUGAUUUCAUAAACUAAUUUUCCUAAUAGUACAAAAGCUUGAAUUUUGGAAAGGGAGAGUUAUUUUAGUGUAUGAUUUGAUUGUUGAUUGGUUGUCUGACAAUUCUUAUUUGGAGGUAAGAUUUAUUUUUGUCUUAUUGCAUUUUAUUCUCUGAUAAAUGAAACCCAAGUAGUUAGUAACAAUUGUUUGAUAGGUAUUUCACUCUGGAGAAAAUAGAUGGCUGCAAUUUUUCAACUUGAAUUAUGUCUGUAAAUUUAAAAUGAAAAAUAGCUUGGCUUGUAUCCUUCCAUAUAUCUUGUGUGUGUGUGUGUGUGUGUGUGUGUGUGUGUGUGUGUGUGUGUGGCUCUGAAGUUACAUCCAUUAAAAAAAACAAAAUCCUUAUUCUCCUGGAGCUUUUAUUCUGGUGAGUUGAAAAAUUACCAAAUAAAUAGGUAAUUAUACAAUAUAAUGUCGUGGUAAACAGGAAGGAAAAGAAAUGGGUAAGGGAACAGAGUAACAAGGGAUCCUUUACCAGUUAUGAUGGUCAGGGAAGUCCUCUCAGGAAGUCCUCUCAACUGCUGUUGAACAGACAUUAGGAUAAAGUGAUAAUGCCUAGCCAUACAGAUACCUGGGGGAAGAGUGCCUGAAGUGAGGAUGAGCUUGAUCAAAGGCAAAGCUGAUAUUGGUGUGACUAAGAAUAACAGAGACAUUUGUGGCCAGAACACAAAGAGCAAUGAGCAAAAUGGUAUAAAAUGAGGUCUGGAGUGGUUGAUGAGGGUCAUAUCACACUGGUCUUAUAGGCCAUCAGAAUUUUGGUUUUUAAGUGUAACUGAAAGGCUUUGGAGGAGACAGAGCAGGGGGAUGACAUGAUCUGAUUACCUUUCGAAAGGAUGACCUGGAUUGCUGAAUGAAGAAUAGACUGUAAAGAGAUCAGAGUAGAAGCCAGGGUGCCUGUCACAAAGAGAUUGCAGUAGUCAGAUGAGACUUUGAACUUGUAUACAAACACACAUGCUACUUGGUGCCAUAUAUAUGUUUACAUAUACUUAUUUAUAUGUGAUUGCUUUUGGCUUAAAAGAUAUAUUCAGAUUUUUUUUCACAUUCAGCAAUGUAAUGUAGACAUCUUUUAUAGUGAGUACAUACAGACUUCCUUACUCCUUUUGAUGGAUGGAUGUUAUUCCAUGUUAUGGUACACAUUAUUUAAUCCAUGUUGUAUAAAAGGACAUUUAUGUUUACAGGUUAUUCUUUUUACUUUUUUAUUUAAGUUUACCUAUUUAUUUUGAGAGAGACAGAGACAGCAUGAGCAGGGGAGGGGCAAAGAGAGAGGGAGAGAGAUAAUCCUAAGCAGGCUCUGUACUGCCAGCUGCAGAGACUGACACAGGGCUUGAACUCACAAACCAUGAGAUCAUGAUCUGAGCUGAAACCAAGAGUUAGUCGCUUAACUUACUGAACCACCCAGGGGCUUUGGGGGUUAUUCUUUUUAAAAGUACUCUGUGCAAACUGUGUGUGUGUGUGUGUGUGUGUGUGUGUGUGUGUGUGUGUGUAUUAUUGCUCACAGUUGUGGAGAUACGCCUGUAGGGUAAAUUUCUAGGAGCAUGAAGGGUCAAAGGAUAUGUGCACGUUAAAUUUUAAUGAUUCU